Molecule: transfer RNA, 58 nt
Filed under: Neotoma lepida (desert woodrat)
Lineage: Eukaryota; Metazoa; Chordata; Mammalia; Rodentia; Cricetidae
Rfam family: tRNA
About the family: Transfer RNA (tRNA) molecules are approximately 80 nucleotides in length.
Source: Rfam by way of RNAcentral
UGGCUCAGUUAGUAAAGUGCUUGUCUUGCAAACAUGAGGACCUGGGUUCGAUCCCCAG